GCCCAGAUAGCUCAGUGGUAGAGCAGAGGAUUGAAGCUCCUUGUGUCGUUCGUUCAAAUCGGACUCUAGGCA
This 72-nucleotide transfer RNA is filed under the name Mychonastes homosphaera. RNAcentral's name for it is "tRNA-Phe". It matches the Rfam family "tRNA". Rfam says of the family: Transfer RNA (tRNA) molecules are approximately 80 nucleotides in length. RNAcentral also lists the same sequence under 1 other name. The record is from RNAcentral. Lineage: Eukaryota; Viridiplantae; Chlorophyta; Chlorophyceae; Sphaeropleales; Mychonastaceae.